Molecule: ribosomal RNA, 483 nt
Filed under: uncultured bacterium
Lineage: Bacteria
Description: bacterial SSU rRNA
Rfam family: Bacterial small subunit ribosomal RNA
Source: RNAcentral
AUUGAACGCUGGCGGCAUGCCUUACACAUGCAAGUCGAACGGUAACAGGUCUUCGGACGCUGACGAGUGGCGAACGGGUGAGUAAUACAUCGGAACGUGCCCAGUCGUGGGGGAUAACUACUCGAAAGAGUAGCUAAUACCGCAUACGAUCUGAGGAUGAAAGCGGGGGACCUUCGGGCCUCGCGCGAUUGGAGCGGCCGAUGGCAGAUUAGGUAGUUGGUGGGAUAAAAGCUUACCAAGCCGACGAUCUGUAGCUGGUCUGAGAGGACGACCAGCCACACUGGGACUGAGACACGGCCCAGACUCCUACGGGAGGCAGCAGUGGGGAAUUUUGGACAAUGGGCGAAAGCCUGAUCCAGCAAUGCCGCGUGCAGGAUGAAGGCCUUCGGGUUGUAAACUGCUUUUGUACGGAACGAAAAAGCUUCUCCUAAUACGAGAGGCCCAUGACGGUACCGUAAGAAUAAGCACCGGCUAACUCUGUGC